GACGAACGCUGGCGGCGUGCUUAACACAUGCAAGUCGAACGAUGAUCCGGAGCUUGCUCCGGGGAUUAGUGGCGAACGGGUGAGUAACACGUGAGUAACCUGCCCUUGACUCUGGGAUAAGCGUUGGAAACGACGUCUAAUACCGGAUAUGACCUUUGCCGGCAUCGGCUGGAGGUGGAAAGAUUUUUGGUCAAGGAUGGACUCGCGGCCUAUCAGGUAGUUGGUGAGGUAAUGGCUCACCAAGCCGACGACGGGUAGCCGGCCUGAGAGGGUGACCGGCCACACUGGGACUGAGACACGGCCCAGACUCCUACGGGAGGCAGCAGUGGGGAAUAUUGCACAAUGGGCGCAAGCCUGAUGCAGCAACGCCGCGUGAGGGAUGACGGCCUUCGGGUUGUAAACCUCUUUUAGCAGGGAAGAAGCGAAAGUGACGGUACCUGCAGAAAAAGCACCGGCUAACUACGUGCCAGCCGCCGCAGUAAAAC
Molecule: ribosomal RNA, 485 nt
Filed under: uncultured bacterium
Lineage: Bacteria
Description: bacterial SSU rRNA
Rfam family: Bacterial small subunit ribosomal RNA
Source: RNAcentral